AGCAAAGUGAUCCACUGAACCAGAGUGUUUGCCCUCUCAUAAUUACGUUGAGCUUUUCCCUUUUUUCACCCUCCCCCUGCUUCUUUUUUUUUCAUCACUCUUUGAGACUUCGGGGCUAGUGGUAAUUAGCCAGAAGAGAAUAAAACCAGCUGAUCGGGAGAGGGGUGGUGCAUUUUGGAGCGAGAUGGCUAACAGAAACAUUCUGUUGCUCUUCUGUGGACUCUUCCUCUUAGCACUGAUUCAACCCUCUCUUCAAGGAGGUGUGUAUCUACCACCUGGUGCUGGGUUAGGACCAGGAGGCGGUGGAACAGGAACUGGAUUCUUUCCAGGGGCUGCUGGAGGGUUCCCUGCGGGCUAUAAACCAGCUAAAGCUGCAGGAGGUUAUGCAGGAGGAGGUGGAGGCCGAGGCCUAUUCGUGCCAGGGGCAGGUGGCCAGGUCAUUGCAGGAUUGCCAGCAGGACAAGGUGGAAAAGCCCCUAAACCAGGAUAUGGAAAUCUAGGAGGUGGCGGCCUGGGGCCUGGAGGCUAUGGAGGAGGUGGCUAUGGGGGCUACUAUCCGGGAGCUGGAUCAAAGGCUGCUAAAAGCGGUAAAAUGCAGGGCAGAAAAUGUCUUGGUAGAAAUGUAACAUCGGCGGCUAAUAAAAGAGUGACGGCAUCAGCG
Long non-coding RNA from Astatotilapia calliptera (eastern happy), 661 nucleotides. NCBI's taxonomy places the organism in Eukaryota, Metazoa, Chordata, Actinopteri, Cichliformes, Cichlidae. The record is from Ensembl.